GGGUCAGUAGGUUGGUCGUGCCACUGGUAUGCACUGGCCUUACUGAUUCCUCCUUCUUGAAGAACUGCGAUGUCAUUAACUUGGUGUUGCAGGGAAACAGGACUGUUACUUUGAAAAAAUUAGAGUGUUUAAAGCAGGCAAUCGCUUGGAUACAUUAGCAUGGAAUAAUAAAAUAGGACGUGUGGUUCUAUUUUGUUGGUUUCUAGAAUCGCCGUA
Molecule: ribosomal RNA, 216 nt
Filed under: uncultured fungus
Lineage: Eukaryota; Fungi
Description: partial small subunit ribosomal RNA
Rfam family: Eukaryotic small subunit ribosomal RNA (bases 40-216)
Source: RNAcentral